GAAUGAGAAGCUGAUUUAUUCAUUUUCCCUAUUGGUUUGAUUGCAGAAAUGAUAGCAGCAAAAGUAUUAAUUACCUCUAGUUGAUCAUUU
This is a small nucleolar RNA of Telopea speciosissima, 90 nucleotides long. RefSeq annotates it as small nucleolar RNA Z102/R77. NCBI's taxonomy places the organism in Eukaryota, Viridiplantae, Streptophyta, Magnoliopsida, Proteales, Proteaceae. The transcript has a single exon. The record is from RefSeq and is a predicted model, not a curated record.